This 465-nucleotide ribosomal RNA is filed under the name Vreelandella stevensii. RNAcentral describes it as "partial 16S ribosomal RNA". It matches the Rfam family "Bacterial small subunit ribosomal RNA", at positions 338 to 795 of the family's 1533-position model. The record is from RNAcentral. Lineage: Bacteria; Pseudomonadati; Pseudomonadota; Gammaproteobacteria; Oceanospirillales; Halomonadaceae.
CCUACGGGAGGCAGCAGUGGGGAAUAUUGGACAAUGGGGGCAACCCUGAUCCAGCCAUGCCGCGUGUGUGAAGAAGGCCCUCGGGUUGUAAAGCACUUUCAGUGAGGAAGAACGCCUGGUGGUUAAUACCCAUCAGGAAAGACAUCACUCACAGAAGAAGCACCGGCUAACUCCGUGCCAGCAGCCGCGGUAAUACGGAGGGUGCGAGCGUUAAUCGGAAUUACUGGGCGUAAAGCGCGCGUAGGUGGCUUGAUAAGCCGGUUGUGAAAGCCCCGGGCUCAACCUGGGAACGGCAUCCGGAACUGUCAAGCUAGAGUGCAGGAUAGGAAGGUAGAAUUCCCGGUGUAGCGGUGAAAUGCGUAGAGAUCGGGAGGAAUACCAGUGGCGAAGGCGGCCUUCUGGACUGACACUGACACUGAGGUGCGAAAGCGUGGGUAGCAAACAGGAUUAGAUACCCGGGUAGUC